CCUACGGGUGGCAGCAGUGAGGAAUAUUGGUCAAUGGGCGGAAGCCUGAACCAGCCAAGUAGCGUGCAGGAUGACGGCCCUACGGGUUGUAAACUGCUUUUAUACGGGAAUAACGCGCCUUACGUGUAGGGCUUUGCAUGUACCGUAUGAAUAAGGACCGGCUAAUUCCGUGCCAGCAGCCGCGGUAAUACGGAAGGUGCGGGCGUUAUCCGGAUUUAUUGGGUUUAAAGGGUGCGUAGGCCGCAUGUCAAGCGUGCUGUGAAAUGUCCGGGCUCAACCCGGGCCUUGCAGCGCGAACUGGCUUGCUUGAGUCCGCGGAAAGCAGGCGGAAUUCGUGGUGUAGCGGUGAAAUGCUUAGAUAUUACGAAGAACCCCGAUUGCGAAGGCAGCUUGCUGCAGCGGAACUGACGCUGAUGCUCGAAAGCGCGGGUAUCGAACAGGAUUAGAUACCCCAGUAGUC
RNAcentral lists this ribosomal RNA (460 nucleotides) under uncultured bacterium. Its description in RNAcentral is "partial 16S ribosomal RNA". It matches the Rfam family "Bacterial small subunit ribosomal RNA", at positions 338 to 795 of the family's 1533-position model. The record is from RNAcentral.